RNAcentral lists this long non-coding RNA (1449 nucleotides) under Oryza sativa Indica Group (long-grained rice). RNAcentral's name for it is "lncRNA OsMH63_11G014180". Lineage: Eukaryota; Viridiplantae; Streptophyta; Magnoliopsida; Poales; Poaceae. The record is from RNAcentral.
CAUCUUGCCCGCCCCUCGUCGAAGUCCGACCCGCAGCUAGCUCAGCCGGCGGCCGGCGAGCACAACGUGAGAGGUGUCCGUGUGUUUAGGAAUGUACCUCUCAAGUUCAUUCCUGAGCAUCACGCAGUGUAUAGUGGUAGGAUAGUUACGCUCAACAAGUCUGGCGUUGUUGGACACAGGCCGGCACCACCACAGGUCCUCCAAGAGGCUCAGAUCUUAGAUGUUGAUGAUCUCACCAACCUGGCACUCCUACCACCUUCUCCGGAGCCAUCCUUAGGUCCGUGCAGAAGGGGCAAGAGAAUCAUGACUCCCGGCUACUCUUCAGGUGGCAACAACAAGGGGACCAGGAGAGACUCCACCGGAGAUGCAUUUAAUAGGCUGGCUGACCUGAGGGUUCAGUCCAAUGAAAGUAAGGCCAGGAGGGAGGAGCAGAAGCAAGCGAAGAGCGCUAGAGCAUGCAUGGAAAUGCUCAAGGCUGAUGGGAUUAGCAUGCAGGAUCCCAUCUACCACACAAUCCUGAGGAUGCUUCGUGAUGGGUACCUGUGUGAGUUCUUCAUUGAGGACUGCAUCGAGUUCUUCAUUGAGGACUGCACCACACCAGAGGGUCGCAUGUACUUCAUCCAGCUGCGUGGUGCACCAGACCUCACUCCUGACCCCCUGUUGUUUGCUCCACCGCCACCACCAACCUGCUCAGGCCAUGUUGAGGGCUGGUACAAGAGGUUCAGUCCUCAUGACGAUGAUGGUAGCGACGGUGCUAAUGGUGGUGCUGAUGGUGCAGCAGUGAACAUGAGCACUUCUGAAAGAUCAUAUGGUUCUAAGGAUGGCUACUACAGUGAGGAGGAGGACUCCUUUCUGGACAUGUUGGUUGCGGCUUUGAAGGCAAAGCUAUGUGUGAGGGCAGCACGUUGGGUAUCGCAACAAUCUGGAAUGGAAUGGGUGAUGGAGACAAUGGAAAACCCAUCUCAAUGCCAAGCAAUUUUCCGUCUGAUGCCAGAUCAAAUCCAUGCUCUGUUUGGGUUACUUACUAAUCGAUACAAUCUUCAUGGAUCAAUUGAGGUAUGCCCAAUGGAAGCACUUGGAAUAUUUUUAUACAUCAUGGCGGGGGGCAAUUCAAAUAGGGCCACUAAUAAUAGGAUGGUAAGAUCUGGGUCUACUGUCUCUAACUACAUCCAUAGAGUGCUUAAUGCGGUUUAUGCUGCUGACAUAAAUAAGCCGGUAGAUCCUAACUUUGCAAGAGUUCAUUAUCGUGUCCAGAAUGAUGAAGAAUUCCAGCCAUUUGCUGGUGCGGCUGGUGCAGUGGAUGGAGCACACAUUCAUUGCAUUGUGGCAGUGGAUGAUUCCAUUCAACACAGGAACCGUCACCACAUAACUUCUAGGAAUGUUCGUCGCUAUUGGAUUGGACGACCGUGUCAUUUUUGCAGAUGUUGGGUGGCUAGGGUCUGUGCAUGA